This 433-nucleotide ribosomal RNA is filed under the name uncultured bacterium. RNAcentral's name for it is "partial 16S ribosomal RNA". It matches the Rfam family "Bacterial small subunit ribosomal RNA", at positions 29 to 507 of the family's 1533-position model. The record is from RNAcentral.
AACGAACGCUGGCGGCAUGCCUAACACAUGCAAGUCGAACGAGAUCUUCGGAUCUAGUGGCGCACGGGUGCGUAACGCGUGGGAAUCUGCCCCUUGCUUCGGAAUAACAGUGAGAAAUUACUGCUAAUACCGGAUGAUGUCUUCGGACCAAAGAUUUAUCGGCAAGGGAUGAGCCCGCGUAGGAUUAGGUAGUUGGUGGGGUAAUGGCCUACCAAGCCGACGAUCCUUAGCUGGUCUGAGAGGAUGAUCAGCCACACUGGGACUGAGACACGGCCCAGACUCCUACGGGAGGCAGCAGUGGGGAAUAUUGGACGAUGGGCGAAAGCCUGAUACAGCAAUGCCGCGUGAGUGAUGAAGGCCUUAGGGUUGUAAAGCUCUUUUACCAGGGAUGAUAAUGACAGUACCUGGAGAAUAAGCUCCGGCUAACUCCGUG